This 9131-nucleotide long non-coding RNA is filed under the name Daucus carota (carrot). RNAcentral describes it as "long non-coding RNA (DCAR_LNC003972)". The record is from RNAcentral. Lineage: Eukaryota; Viridiplantae; Streptophyta; Magnoliopsida; Apiales; Apiaceae.
AAUCUUACUUUUGUAGCUGGGACUUCCCCUUAUCUUAUGAAGUGGAAUGAAGGUUUUAUUCUGCUUGGUACUCAGUUUGCAGGAGGAGUGUUCCUGGGCAUUGCUCUGCUGCAGUUUCUUCGUGAUUCGAAUGAGUUUUUUGAUAAGUUGAGCUCAGAUGAUUACCCUUUUGCGUUUGUGCUGGCUGUUUCUGGGUAUUUGUUGACAAUGUUGGCGGAUUGUGUGUGUGUUUAUGUGUACAGAAAGCGAAAAUGUAGAGAGACUGGUAAUGCUUUGAAGCUCUUCUUUGUUAUUUAGGUUUGCUAAAUAUAUGGUGCAGUUGUUUUAUGUGCUCUUGUUGUGUUUUGAAUUGCAUUGUGUUCGUUUUGUGUUUUGAAUUGCAUUGUGUUCGUUCAAUUAAGUAAUACUGUUUGAAAUUAGAGUACCUUCAUUGCAAUGUUGGGAAAAUCCUUGUGUGUUCAGUGCUGUUAGUAUAAUCUCAUGUUUGUUUUGCAAAGGGGUUGGACUCUUUAAUCCCCAAUAAAACGAGGUCGAAAGGGGUCACAAUUAGUCCUCUUUAACGCGUAAGAUUAUUAAUCUUUCUGAUUCCCGGACUAUAAUCCCACAUAAGUUUUUAUGAAACAAAGGAUUAUUCUCUAGUUCCAGGGAACCUUAAGUGACGCUGUGACGCCUUUGAUCAAGAAUUUACACACUCUUGGUAUUUAGAUUAUUCCAGUGACUGAAGUCCAAAGGUUCGAACUAUGAUUAAGCCCUGAUUAUCAUAAGAAAAAUACUCUGUAAUAUAUUUAUGAACGCAUAGUAGCAGUUGCUAGGGGUUAACACUGGGUCUGCCAGUUCUAAGAUUAUGCACAUUAGGACCUGAUGCUUACCAGGUAACCGAUUUCUUGUAUAUUUCCUUGUUUGUAGCUGCACAGCAAAGAAAAUCUAACACAAACGUAGCCAGCAGUAGCACUGGGACCUCACAAUCACGCAAUCAGGUAAUGAAUAAGCAAUGUAUUUUUCACCUGCAAAAUUGUUACUAGGUUGUUCAUAUUCUGUGUCAAGUUAGUUGAAAUUUCCACAGAUAAGCUACCUGGUUCUAUCAUUGAUAAAAAAGACCAUCUCAAUAGACAUUCCUAUUGAUGGAAUAGUGAUAAUCUCAAUUUGUAAAAUAACCUUAAGCUGAAAUUCCGAGAAAGCACGAAGCUCUCUACUCCAAGAACAAUGGAACGGAGAAAAAGAAAAAGUAGCAGGGGUUAAAAUUUACAAUAAGAGACUAAUUAGCAAGAAGAAUUUUACUAGUACUAAACCAUGACAAGGGGGGCCUCGUAUUUGAUUCCGUAUCUCAUCUUUCUUAUGAAAUCGUCGCAUUUCUUGUUAAGUUCCUCUGUACUCCAUAGCAUAAUUUGUUCUUCCUCGUCCUCUUCUUCUUCUUCUUGUUCUCCGUGUUCUUCGUGUUCUUGUUGUUCGUCGACAAUAUCAAGAAGAUCAUCGAUGACCUCUUCAGCUGUAGAUGUCAGAAAUUCAGCAGCCUGAUCCAAUUCUGUUAUUCCUAUUGUUGUUUCAACUUCAGCGUUCGUCUCUGCAUCAGCUUCGGGAAGAUCAUCAAUUUGUGGCCUAAUAUUCUUCAUAUUAUUUGAUUCCAAAAAUUGAUUAUAAGCCACAUUGUUAUUUAAAUGUGCAUUUUCGCGGAUUAAAUCGGAUUGAUGAUGCGAGUGGACAUGGUGCCUGACAACAUGACUAUUAUUAAGGAUAGUGGUCCUGCAUACUGCUGCAUUGGUCCCAUUUUGUUGCUGUCUCUCUGAGUCCUUGUUUGUCCUUGUCUGUUAGGCUGUUAUUUGUUUCCUCUACUCGUGUCCUGCGCGACCGUUACUUUUGUUUCCUAGUAUCUCUACCUAAAUAGCAAGCUGUAUCAUAGCUGUGCUAGGCUAUAUAUAACCCUUGUAUGCAGCACUCUUUAUGAGCAAGAAAGGAAUAUAAUUUCCAACUUAACUUUUGUGCUCUCAGCCUUUUCUCUUCUGCAUCUCAGCUUCUAUAUCAGUCUUUUAGAGCUUAAUUUAUAAAGCUCAUCAUGGUAUCAGAGCCAGGUUCCUAAAGAACUGAUUUGCAGUUGAUUCACAUCUCAUUCCUUUCUUCACUGAUUAUAUACACCAGAUCCUAAAAACCUUUUUCUCCUUUUCAAACAUUCAUUCCAAGAUCCACUUCCAACAAUGGCAAAUGGAAAUGGAAGAAUAUCUUUCCAAGACAUGUUAAACCCACUUUUUUUACACCCAUCUGACAAUGCUGCAUCAAUCCAAGUUGACAAACUACAAGGAUCGGCAGAUUACAGGACAUGGAAAAGAACCAUGGAAAUUAACCUGGCUUCAAAGCGUAAGCUGGGGUUUGUUACUGGUACUGUCCCAGUUCCAGAUGAUGAUGAACAGAAGGCAGAGCUCUGGGAGACCUGCAAUAACAUGGUAAUAGCAUGGAUUACCUUUAAUCUAUCUCCAACUAUUCGUAGAUCUGUUAUGUAUAUGACUACAGCCCAUGAAAUUUGGCUUAAUCUUGAAAAGCGUUUUUCUGUCACUAACGGAUCUAGAAAAUACAAGUUGAAUAGAGAACUCUAUGAAAUUAAACAAAAUCAUAUGAGUGUCAAUGAUUAUUACACUAUGAUGAAAUCUUUGUGGGAAGAACUUGAUUCCAUAAAUAUAUUGCCUGCUGUUAACUCACCUAGUGCAGAAGUUACCAAGCUUCUCACUACUAUUGAUGCUCAAAGAGAAGAGUGCAAACUAUUCCAGUUUUUGAAUGGGGUUGAUGAAAGCUAUAACCCACAGAGGAGCCACUUGUUGAUGCUCACUCCUCUGCCCACCGUUGAAAUUGCGUGUGCUGCGUUGAUGCAAGAAGAAGCACAACGUGAUGUUCUUCAAUCAUCAGUCAAGGUCGAGGACCCUGUGUCUGCUUUGUAUGGAAAGGCAACUCCUAGACCUUCAAACCCGGAUAGACCUGUGCCUAACUGCACUGCGUGUGGGGGUCGAGGGCACACUGCUGAAAGAUGUUGGACAGUUGUGGGAUACCCACCUUGGCACUCGAGACAUGACCCAAACAAACCCUCACCAAAACCAAAAUCCAGACCACCAAACAAAUGGAACUCUACCCCUCAACCACAUCGAAUGGCAGCCACCUCCCAAGUAGUAGAAACACCUCAACUUCCUGCAAUUUUUUCACCUCAACAACUCGAACAACUAGCCAAACUUCUCCCUCAAAUACAACUAAACACAACCCAGCUGCCCGACACAGAUGACGAAUUAGAACACUUCUCAGGAAUGAUUACCUCCCUCAACUCAUCCACUACACCUCAAGAAUGGAUAAUUGAUAGUGGAGCCUCUGACCAUAUGACCCCUUGCAUAAACCAACUUCACUCUGUCCAAACUAUUACCACACCAGUUCACACUAACUUACCCAACGGUACUCAAGCCCAAAUAACCCACAUGGGUACUGUUAAACUUGACACUGGCUUGCUCCUCCAGAAAGUUCUCUAUGUUCCAAACUUCAAACACAGCCUCCUGUCUGUUCAGAAAAUGGUCAAAGACUCGAAAUGCCUUUUUCAGUUCUAUCCAACUCACUGCUUGAUUGUUGAUUCCGUUUCUGGAAAUGUGCUUGGGGUUGGCGAAGCCAGAAACGGGUUGUAUUACUUGAUAAACCACAAGACCCGACAACUACCAUCGACUUGGUUUGCUGCUACAAAUAUGCCAUCGAGUCUCAAUGCUGCCUCAACUGUGUCGUUAGAAGUCUGGCACCACAGAUUGGGCCAUGCUCCUGUACCCAACAUCAAGCAUAUCCCACAAUUGUCAAAUCUUAAAUCUCCAGAUAAGGUAUGCAUUUCGUGUCCUCUGGCUAAGUUCACUCAUUUACCAUACAACCUCAGUGACUCUCAUGCUGUGUCUCGAUUUGAUCUUAUCCACAUUGAUAUAUGGGGGCCCUAUAAAGUGUUUACUAAGGGCAAAUUCAAAUUUUUUCUAACGAUUGUUGAUGACAAUACUCGAUACACUUGGGUAUACUUGUUGCAACACAAAUCUGAUGCUUUACAGACUCUGGAAAUAUUCUUUCUAUAUGUGAAGAACCACUUUGAGGCUGACAUUAAGGUUCUUCGCUCGGACAAUGCUCUGGAAUUUGACACAACACACUGUCAACAAUUCUUCAACAAACAUGGUGUUCUCCAUGAGACUUCUUGUGUCUAUCGCCCACAGCAAAAUGCCCGAGUUGAAAGGAAGCAUCGCCAUAUACUGGAAGUGGCUCGUUCCUUAAGAUUUCAAGCCAAUUUGCCGUUAGAAUUCUGGGGUGACUGUGUCUUAACGGCUGUCUACUUAAUCAACCGCCUUCCGUCAACUGUCUUGCAGCAAAAAACCCCAUAUGAAGCACUUUACAGAUCUCCCCCGGACUAUGACGAAUUACGAGUGUUCGGUUGUCUUGCCUUUGCCUCCAACCCAACAAUUUUAGGGGACAAAUUCUCAAAAAGGGGAGUCCCAUGUGCUUUUAUGGGAUACCCUCCACUCAAGAAGGGAUACAAGCUUCUUAACCUCUCCACUAUGCAGCCAUUCAUCUCUCGAGAUGUCAAAUUUGUGGAAUCAGUCUUCCCAUUCCACCCUAAUUCCACCUCUUCAUAUAUGCAGCCUCUACCACCUCAAACCAUUCCUACUCCACCUCCUGUUAUCUUAGAUGAUGAAUACAUCCUCACACCUACAUCACAGAACACUCCACCCUCAUCAUCAUCUCCUACAAACACCCCCACACCCCCAUCCGAACCACUCAACCUUUCUCCUGUUAUUCGCAGAAGCAACCGCCCUCAUAACCCCCCUGCUUGGCAAAAAGACUUUGUCACUCAAACCUCCCAUAUCUCCAAUUUGGCUGAUACAGAAGUUGCCCCAACCUUUAACAGCUUCAUGACCAGUCUCACUGCUGUGGCAGACCCUGUUCAUUUUAAACACGCUGUCCAUUCUCCACACUGGAUUCAAGCUAUGAACUCUGAAUUAGACGCCCUCGAACGAAAUGACACCUGGAUACUCACUACCCUUCCACCAAACAAAACUGCUAUUACCUGCAAAUGGAUUUUCAAAACCAAACUUCAUCCUGAUGGCACAUUAGAGCGUUAUAAGGCUCGACUCGUUAUUAUGGGCUGCAAACAGAAGCCCGGGGAAGACUAUGAUCAGACUUUCGCCCCAGUGGCAAAACUCACCACUGUGCGCACUUUACUUGCUGUUGCAGCCACACAAGAUUGGAUAGCCAUUCAGAUGGAUGUCUCGAACGCAUUCUUACACGGUGAUCUGUUGGAAGACAUUUACAUGAAACUCCCCCCAGGGUAUACUCAUUAUGGUUGUCGAAUGGACUCAACUUAUGCCACUGCCAUCCCCACGCCAACCACCACCCUUGUCUGUAAGCUGAAGAAAACACUAUAUGGGUUAAAACAGUCACCUAGGCUGUGGUUCCACAAACUUACUUCUACUCUCCUGCAAGACGGCUUCCUUCAAUCCAAAGCGGAUUACAGCCUCUUCACAAAGACAAGUGACACCACUAUCACGAACAUUCUCAUCUAUGUGGAUGAUCUCAUGAUAUGUGGAAACAGUGCUACUGAAAUUGACAAGCUGAAAUCCAUGCUCUCCUCUCACUUUCAUAUGAAGGACCUGGGCACCCUUCGCUACUUCCUUGGAAUAGAAAUUGACAGAUCACCAUCAGGUUUCUUCAUCUCCCAAGCCAAAUACACACUCGAUUUACUAAAGGAAUAUGGUCUGUUAAAUGCCAAACCCCUGAAACUUCCAAUGGAUUCCCAUCUCAAACUCACACAUGACAAAGGUGAUAUCUUACCUGAUCCUUCACCUUACCAACGCCUAGUAGGGAAGCUGAUUUACCUCACAAUUACUCGUCCAGACAUAUCCUUCACUAUACAACUUCUAAGUCAAUUUAUGCACCAACCUACAACUGUUCAUAUGCAGGCUGGUAAAAGACUUCUGCGAUAUCUAUGUGGCUCUCCCCAUCAGGGCAUUCUCCUGGCAUCAUCUUCAGCAGCUGAAUUAACAGCAUUUUGCGAUAGCGAUUGGGCCGGAUGUCCAAUCACCAGAAAAUCUACCACUGGGUAUUUUUCGGAUCAUCGCCCAUUUCAUGGAAGUCUAAGAAGCAAUCUGUCACUGCUCGUUCCUCUGCCGAAGCCGAAUACCGUGCAAUGGCACUAACCACCUGUGAAGUUACAUGGCUUGCUGCUCUACUUAAAGACUUGGGUGUCAAAAAGCUUCCGCCAACCAUCCUCAACUGUGACAAUCAGGCUGCCCUAGCAAUAGCAGCCAACCCUGUUUUACACGAAAAAACCAAACAUAUUGAGAUUGACUGCCACUAUGUGCGCGACAAAAUCAAAGAUGGCACCAUAACAACUGCUCAUGUUCCGUCCAAAGACCAAGUUGCUGAUAUUCUCACCAAGAUUCUCCCAGUUCAACAGCAUCAGCAGAUUCUCAGCAAACUUGGAGCUACUCUCUGUUCUCGCUCCUCAGUUUGAAGGGGAGUAUUAAGGAUAGUGGUCCUGCAUACUGCUGCAUUGGUCCCAUUUUGUUGCUGUCUCUCUGAGUCCUUGUUUGUCCUUGUCUGUUAGGCUGUUAUUUGUUUCCUCUACUCGUGUCCUGCGCGACCGUUACUUUUGUUUCCUAGUAUCUCUACCUAAAUAGCAAGCUGUAUCAUAGCUGUGCUAGGCUAUAUAUAACCCUUGUAUGCAGCACUCUUUAUGAGCAAGAAAGGAAUAUAAUUUCCAACUUAACUUUUGUGCUCUCAGCCUUUUCUCUUCUGCAUCUCAGCUUCUAUAUCAGUCUUUUAGAGCUUAAUUUAUAAAGCUCAUCAACUAUCGCGAUAAAAUUCAGUGACAGGAGUGGCAGGAGAGGCGAGAAAGCCGGAGGUUUUGAUGACGAGAAGCAUAAUUCCAUUGCAGAUAAGGAAUAUGUAGUGUCUGUCAGUAGCGGAGAAGCUCAGAAUUUUGAUGGAAUAUAAAUCAGAAAGAAGUGAAGAGUAUUGGGAAGCUAUGAUGGCUAAUGCAGAAAGUGAAAGCAGGAGUUGAAGUGCCUUGCUUGAGGAAUUGAUUUGGCUAAAAAUUGGGUCCAUUUUUCUCGUUCGGCUCGGACAAAACUCGACUCGGAAAAAGUGUUUCUAUGGAUUGUUACAAGAGAAGAUGGAUGAAGAAUGGAAAUGUGUGAUGCCUUUUCUAAAAUGUUGAGUCACUUAUAUACAGGAAGUUGUGUACAUACUGUACUAGUGUCCAUGACAAGUUUUUCAAGCAUUGUACCCCACUUGGCACAUUUUCAAUAUAUAAUUAUCAAACUUGUCUGGAAAUAUUAUAAUAUCUUUGUCAUUGUCGUGGGAUUUACAUAUUUCUAUCCUACUCAAUAAUGAAUAUAAUAAAUGGUUUUCUAUUUAUCACACAAAUGUUACAUUUAUUGAUAUAAUUUGGUUGCCAUUUUUUCUCAUCAGGCAUGAGAAUCAAUCAGCCAGACGAGGGUGAUUAGUAUAUACAUAUUUUUAAACAAAUACUUGUUUUUAUUAAGUAAUGAAUAAUAAACAUUUUUUCAGUAUUUGGCUUUCUUAAAAAUUACAUAAAUCAUAUAUUUUUCUCGUGUUAACCCGUGUAAAAAUAAUUAAAAUAUUUUCAACUCUUAAUGCAUGAUAAAAAUAGCUGUGUUUAUCAUUUCUCACCUAUAAAUUUUGUAUUCAAAUAUAAAAUAAUAACAAUAAUGAUAAUACAAUAUAUUUUAAUCAAAUUUUGUAUAAGAGAGUGAUGUCAAAGAAAAAUACAUUUUUGGUGGAAAAGUUUUUUGUAGUCGGUACAAUUUAUAAAAUAUAUUAUCAAAAAAAGUUAUAAAAUGUUUAUGGUUGACUAAAAAUCCUGUAAACAAUUUUUGUAAAAAUGGCGAUCCUGCAUCACGGUGUUCAUGAACGAUUUCACCUGCAUAAACAAUGUCUCAAGGAAAGCUAACAAAAUGUUUUAUAUAUCGACACAGAAACAAUCUGAAAUUGAAGGAACAAAGAUUUAAAAUAAGAAAUGGUCUCUUCAGGAGUUGACUGACUUAUAAAUUGUGGGGCGAGGAGGAGACCCGAGUGAGUAUACGUGCAACUUCAGUGAAGCUUCCAACAAAGUUUGGCCACGACAAUUUGAUGAAUGUAAUUAAUUUCAAGCAUAUAAUGUUCAUACUUAACAAAUAUUUUUGCUCCCUAAAUUCAAACCAAGGUUGUUAUACCAAACCGAAAUCUAAUAAUUUUUGUCGCACACAAAUAUUUGUUAAAACAAAUGAAAGUUUAAAUUUGGAAAAAUAUAAAAUAGAGAAUAAAUUUCAACGGUGACAAGAGCACUAAUACUACUACAAUAAUCGGCUAACACUACUAAUAUAACUGCAGAGAGAAGUGCCGAACACUGCUACAAUAAUCGGCUAACAUUACUAAUAUAAUUGUGCAGUGUAAUGGAAUUUAUCAACGAAACCGUCUUUAAUUGUGGAAGAAAUAACGACUAAUAAAAGGAUAUUGAUAUUUGUCAACCGUAAUUUAUCGAUGAAAUUUAAUUGUCGUUAAUGUUGACAUGAAAACUCCCACACAGUUGUCCCGAUAAUUAGUUUUGAAAUUUGUAAUGGACUCGACCACCACCCCUUGGAUUGAAAUGAAGAAGAAAACAAGAAUGGCAGACAAGCUCUGCAUGGCUCUGUUCACUCGUGACAUUAUUUUACAAUCAUUUACCAAACCUCAGAACAGAAACUGACAUUUUUUUACUACUUUUACCCACCGAAUCUUGAAAUGCAUUCGAGCAAAAUUUGCAAUGCCCCGUUAUUUACUCCAGGCCACACCAGACUUGAGAUCCAGAUCAUUAGUACUUAUCAAAAUAUGGUCUUUGAUUAUUGUGUUCAAUCUUACUUUCAUAGCUGGGACUUCACCUUAUCUUAUGAAGUGGAAUGAAGGUUUUAUUCUGCUUGGUACUCAGUUUGCGGGAGGAGUGUUCUUGGGCAUUGCUUUGCUGCAGUUUCUUCGUGAUUCGAAUGAGUUUUUUGACAAGUUGGGCUCAGAUGAUUACCCUUUUGCGUUCAUGCUGGCUGUUUCUGGGUAUUUGUUGACAAUGUUGGCGGAUUGUGUGUGUGUUUAUGUGUACAGAAAGCGAAAAU